AGACUGCUGAAACCCGGAAGUAGUGGUGGCCAUAACAGGUCGCGUCUUACACAACGCACCGGGCUGCAGCAAGUCCUGCGGAGAGGAGGGGGGUGGGAGGACCCUGCGAGCCCUCAGCCAGCCGCACCGAGAGCUCAACAACACCGGGAGUAACACACAAUAUCCACCAAAGACUCCGGUCCGAGUCUCAUCCUCACUAACUGACUUCAUACUGCCGUCCUGUAAACACAGAAACAUGUGAAUUAGUGGAUUUACGCACCAAGCGUCAUGAAAAUAGCUUAGAAAAACGACUCAGCUGCUGAUGUGAGCUAUUGUCAGCAGCGUCGAAUGGGUCGCUCCAGUUUGCCCGGGCUGUCCAAUGGCAGGGAGGCACAGCGAUGGGAGCCCCCUAUUGGCUCCCGACGUGAUCGAUCCGGGGGCUGAUGGAUCGCUUUUAGGCCACAUUGGCGAGGAGACGCACAAACAAAACAUCAUCCGCGGCGCGUCUAGCCAUCGAUCAUCUGCCCCCGGUGCCAGAAACGGUGUCAUAACAUGAUAAUGCGGCUUCACACAUUCGGCGGUGAUUCCUGCGGUAAAAAAAAAAAGCCGAGCUGGGAUCCGAUGGGACGAUUUUACAAGCAUGAAAUGACGAUCAAAGCCUCCCGCAGUCCGAGAGCUCCGGGGCUGCGGGCAGCACAGGAGCCACGAGGCGCGGACUUUUACGCACAGAGACCACGGAUCAAAAAAUAAACCGAAGAGCGCGUCAACUUUACCAGUUCUGUUAUUUAUUGGUGAGUAGAAGCUCCUGUUUUCUGAUUGCUUAUUGUUUUUAUUUUAUUUUGAUGGAAUUGUAAAUAAUUAAAAGGCGCAUUGAUGCCACCAUAAAUGUUUUCUUCUAAUUGGUUUAUUUCUAAUUAAAGGGUUUAAAAUCCCACUUUCUGCUGAAUUUGUGGGUUUUAGUGGAGCACAGCUCACUCCACCACCACAAGCUCCACUGAUGUUUUAAACGAGGACUAAAUUCACAUGAAAGGAGUCCAGAUCAGCGCCUGCUCACUGUAAAAUAACCACCACGGCAUUAUAAAGCAAUUAAGCUCCUCCAAUUAGCAGCCAUAAAAUAUAUUUUUAAAAAAAGCUCCACUUUCUCUCCUCGGAGUUGCUCUUUCGUGAGGGUCAGCGCGUUUUGCUAUCCUGGAAGAGAGCAGGGGGGCAAAUACCGUCACUUCUGCUUAAUCCGCUUUGCGCUGACGGUAAUGCUCUGAGUCGUUUCAAUAAAAUCAGCAGGUAUUACUUUCAAACGGCUGAAUGCAAAUUGACAGCAUGUUUGACUGGCCAAACAAAUGAAAGCCUUAUUAGACGGCCUGUGCGUCCUGACUUAUGCAUGUGUGGACACAAAGAGAAACUGUAGCCUUUAUGUUAGAUUAUACAGAAAAAUAUCAAUUUAAAAAAAGAAAAUAAUCCGCUUUAUUCAAGUGACUUUAACAUCUAAAAACUGAAACUCUAAGCUGUGUAUUCCUCUUUAUGUUCCAUUUUAAUAAGUUUUAACUACUUGCAGGUAUUUGUGUUGCAAGAAAACAAAAGUGUGACGAUUAUUUGAAUUGUUUGUGAGUGAUAAAGACAGAAAGCGCUGCAGGUCAGAGAUGUGAAUCAUUGGCUCAGUCUUUGUGAUCGCCUGGAUCACCGCUGGUCUGUUUGAAAAAAAACACACACAAGGAGCAACUGGCAGCCUGAGGAGUCAAACUGAGGUCAAACUUUCUGCAGCCCCGCAGCUCUGCGCCUAAACAUGUUGGGAUCCGCAACCCAAAAAAAAAAAAAAAAGAAAAGAAAAGAGAGAGGAGGCCACUGAGCCUCUUUCUGCUUUGUGUCACUGCAGCAGCAGACUCACAGACCUGCUGCAAAGUUUGAACACUUUAUCUAAUUAUAUGAAACUACCACUACAUUAUCUCCUGUCAGGAAACAUCCAUCUGGAGCUGGAAUUAUUCAGUCAGAGGAGAGAGAAAAGGCAAAUAAUGUGGAGAUUUCAUCCAAAAAUUAGUGUAAUAAGCUGAAAUACGAGGUGUAAAAUCACAUUCUCGACAGAACAGCAUAUAUUCUCCAUCAUUAUUUACUAAUUCAUGAUAGUAAAUAAAAGUGUAGAAAUUAUUUUUAGCACCUUGUUUGUCUAAAUCCUUAUAAACCAAGAUGGGGUGUGAUUUUUUUUUUUGCAUGAUUUUCUAAAUAGAUAAAAACACAUAUCUUGGGAGUGUCUCUAAAAACAUCCUGGCUUUUCUAAAAUCCUGACUCUGGCGUGAUGACAGGAAAAUAACAGAACUCAGAAUUAAUUUCAACCCAUGAAAUCAGCUACAUUUUUUAUUUUUUAUCAGGGGGUAACUCUGUCCUCUGGGAGUUUUGGAUCCUGCAGUUUGGUCCAAAUGUUAACGUGGAGCUGCUCUCUGCUCUCACACACAUUAAUGCUUAAUCAUGUGCGCCUUCUACCGGAGCUGCAGGGAAUUACACCUGCAGCAGAGGGACGGAGGAGGCUCAGGUCGGUCUGAGAAGAUGCUGAAAGUCUGCAGCAUAAAUGCACUGCUGGACUUCCUGUCUACAUCUGAUGCAUUGUCAGUGUUUUUAUCCUCUAUAUAUCAUACAUAACGCUGACAAUACUUGCAGUUUACUCACUGUUACAUUCACAAAAUCUGCAAGUAUCUUCAUGUUUUGCACCUUUUUCUCAUGUGCACCUUCUAUUUAUAUAUUAAACCUGCACACCUUACUAACAGCUGCACCUUAUGUGUACUUUUUGCACUAUUUUGUACUUUCAACCUGUAAAUUGUCAUGCAAUAUCAGUCACAGUGUUGUUUUUAUAGCUUUUAACACACCAAAUAAGUGAUCCUUACAAAAUAAAACAGAUUACACUUGUGUAUUUAUUUUUCCACUGUCCUUAUUGCACUUUAUAUAUUUUUAAAAACUGUUGUGUGAUUGUGUGAAUGCACUGACAGGGUUGCUGCUUAAUGACAGUAAAGUGUUUCUAAUAUAUUCUUUUAUUUAAUAAAGACAUGUCUUAUUUCUCAUGAUCUCUAUUUGUGUAAAUCAUUUAAAAUACCAAUAAAAUAUGCAGUAGUGCCACAUGCGUUUCAGUGUGUUGCCUUUGAUUGCAGACAA
This is a long non-coding RNA of Amphiprion ocellaris (clown anemonefish), 3114 nucleotides long. RefSeq lists it as uncharacterized. NCBI's taxonomy places the organism in Eukaryota, Metazoa, Chordata, Actinopteri, Pomacentridae. The record is from RefSeq and is a predicted model, not a curated record. The transcript has 3 exons.